UAGGGAAUAUUGCACAAUGGGCGAAAGCCUGAUGCAGCAACGCCGCGUGCGCGAUGACGGCCUUCGGGUUGUAAAGCGCUUUUCGGGGAGAUGAGGAAGGUCAGUAUCCCCGGAAUAAGGCUCGGCUAACUACGUGCCAGCAGCCGCGGUAACACGUAGGAGCCAAGCGUUAUUCGAAUUCACUGGGCGUAAAGCGCGUGUAGGCGGCUUGGUAAGUUGGAUGUGAAAGCUCCUGGCUCAACUGGGAGAGGACGUUCAAUACUGCCGGGCUAGAGGGCGAGAGGGGGAGGUGGAAUUCCCGGUGUAGUGGUGAAAUGCGUAGGUAUCGGGAGGAACACCAGUGGCGAAAGCGGCCUCCUGGGUCGCACCUGACGCUCAGACGCGAAAGCUAGGGGAGCGAACGGG
RNAcentral lists this ribosomal RNA (405 nucleotides) under uncultured bacterium. RNAcentral's name for it is "bacterial SSU rRNA". It matches the Rfam family "Bacterial small subunit ribosomal RNA", at positions 355 to 776 of the family's 1533-position model. The record is from RNAcentral.